RNAcentral lists this ribosomal RNA (978 nucleotides) under uncultured beta proteobacterium. RNAcentral describes it as "bacterial SSU rRNA". It matches the Rfam family "Bacterial small subunit ribosomal RNA", at positions 47 to 1007 of the family's 1533-position model. Lineage: Bacteria; Pseudomonadati; Pseudomonadota; Betaproteobacteria. The record is from RNAcentral.
CUUUACACAUGCAAGUCGUGCGGUCAAAAUGAGGGGGCCCUUCCAGACGAGCGGCGGACGGGUGAGUAAUGCAUGGGAAUGCGCCCGAUAGUGGGGGACAACCCUGGGAAACCAGGGCUAAUACCGCAUGUUUUCCACGGAACAAAGCGGGGGAUCUUUUCGGAGACCUCGCGCUAUCGGAGCAGCCCAUGUCCGAUUAGCUUGUUGGCGGGGUAACGGCCCACCAAGGCGACGAUCGGUAGCUGGUCUGAGAGGAUGAUCAGCAACACCGGGACUGAGACACGGCCCGGACUCCUACGGGAGGCAGCAGUGGGGAAUAUUGGACAAUGGGGGCAACCCUGAUCCAGCGAUGCCGCGUGAGUGAAGAAGGCUUUCGGGUUGUAAAGCUCUUUCGCAGGGGAAGAAAAAACGCGGAGUAAUACGCCGCUUCCAUGACGGUACCCUGAUAAGAAGCACCGGCUAACUUCGUGCCAGCAGCCGCGGUAAUACGGGGGGUGCAAGCGUUAAUCGGAAUUACUGGGCGUAAACGUGCGUUAGGCGGCCGUCCAAGUCAGAUGUGAAAGCCCCGGGCUCAACCCGGGAACUGCGUUUGAAACUGGAGGGCUUGAGUUCGGCAGAGGAAGGUGGAAUUCCGCGUGUAGCUGGGAAAUGCGUAGAGAUGCGGAAGAACACUAAUGGCGAAGGCAUCCUUCUGGGCCGACACUGACGCUGAGUCACGAAAGCGUGGGGAGCAAACAGGAUUAGAUACCCUGGUAGUCCACGCCCUAAACGAUGCCCGCUAGCUGUCGGAGGUUCCAAUUUAUUGGUCUUUCGGUAGCGAAGCUAACGCGUUAAGCGGGCCGCCUGGGGAAUACGGUCGCAAGAUUAAAACUCAAAGGAAUUGACGGGGACCCGCACAAGCGGUGGAUGAUGUGGUUUAAUUCGAUGCAACGCGAAAAACCUUACCCGCUCUUGACAUGUCCGGAAUCCCNNNGAGAC